AACCAUUUUGCUGAUACAGUUCAUGGUAAAAUCAUGUUACUUGAGAAAGAUGGGCAUUUUUAAUCUAUAUAUGUAGACUGACAUUUUUAAUCUAUAUAUGUAGACUAUGAGGAUGUAAGUUGAGUAAAUGGCAUAGUCAAUAUGAUAUUUUUAGCAGUUGAAGUACAACAUGAAGAAUUCAGAUGUUUCUUCCAUUAUUGAAUGUGGUUACAUUGAUUUGUUUUGUCUAAUUUGCCACAUGCUAUAUAUUUGAACUUAUUACCCCAUUAUGGUAUACUUGAAAGUCAUCCUUUAGAAGACUUUGAAUUUCGAACAUCAAUAUCUCUGAUAUUUGCAUUUUACGCAGUCAUCUCUCUGAUUGGCACGAAGAAAGCUAAGCAAUAUCGUGAGAUGAUAAGUCGCUAAGAGAAGCUGCUCAAGAUGAUCAUGAGUUCACUUCAGAAAAUCAGGGAAUGUCAGCAGAUGUUAUCACUAAAGCAUUUUUGGCAACAGAAGAAGAAUUUCUUGCUCUGGUAAAGAAGCAAUCGCAGCACAAACCACAACUAGCUUCGGUUGGAUCUUGCUGUUGGGUAGGCGUAAUAUAUAACGGAGAGCUCUAUACUGCAAAUGCAGGAGACUCUUGAGCAGUGUUGGGUAGACUGGACGAGGCUACAAAAGAGAUUAAAGCGGUUCAACUAUCCUAUGAGCACAAUGAUAGCCUAGAAUCUGUCAGAGAGGAGCUACGCUCAUUGCAUCCCGAUGAUCCAUAAAUCGUACUGAUGAAGCACACGGUCUGGCGCAUGAAGGGUCUCAUUCAGUUCAUGCCUUCUUGAGCCUAAGCAGGUAAAACCCAAUUGGCUUUCCUUUACAUGUGCGACCAGAUUUUUUUUUUCUUCAUUGCUUCAAGUAUUUGAUAACAUCAUUCGCCAUUUAGUAACUUUUAUAUUGUUAUUUUAGGACACAUUUCCAAAUUAUGCAUAUACUGUAUUUGGGUCUUCAUCUACCUUUGUUUUACCUCAUCCUUUGA
Molecule: long non-coding RNA, 1006 nt
Organism: Trifolium pratense (red clover)
Lineage: Eukaryota; Viridiplantae; Streptophyta; Magnoliopsida; Fabales; Fabaceae
Exons: 3
Source: RefSeq, a predicted model, not a curated record